UGGGGAAUAUUGCACAAUGGGCGCAAGCCUGAUGCAGCAACGCCGCGUGAACGAUGAAGGUCUUCGGAUCGUAAAGUUCUGUUGCAGGGGAAGAUAAUGACGGUACCCUGUGAGGAAGCCCCGGCUAACUACGUGCCAGCAGCCGCGGUAAUACGUAGGGGGCUAGCGUUAUCCGGAUUUACUGGGCGUAAAGGGUGCGUAGGUGGUCUUUCAAGUCGGUGGUUAAAGGCUACGGCUCAACCGUAGUUAGCCUCCGAAACUGGAAGACUUGAGUGCAGGAGAGGAAAGUGGAAUUCCCAGUGUAGCGGUGAAAUGCGUAGAUAUAUGGAGGAACACCGGUGGCGAAAGCGGCUUUUUGGCCUGCAACUGACACUGAGGCGCGAAAGCGUGGGGAGCAAACAGG
RNAcentral lists this ribosomal RNA (403 nucleotides) under Verrucomicrobiota bacterium. RNAcentral describes it as "Verrucomicrobia bacterium partial 16S ribosomal RNA". It matches the Rfam family "Bacterial small subunit ribosomal RNA", at positions 355 to 776 of the family's 1533-position model. Lineage: Bacteria; Pseudomonadati; Verrucomicrobiota. The record is from RNAcentral.